UCUCCGUUGGUGAACCAGCGGAGGGAUCAUUACAGAGUUGCAAAACUCCCAAACCAUUGUGAACGUUACCUAUCCCGUUGCUUCGGCGGGCGGCCCGGGCCCCGCGCCCGGCGCCCCCCGGCCCCCCGUGGGCGCCCGCCGGAGGUAAACCAAACCCUUGAAUUGCAUGGCCUCUCUGAGUCUUCUGCACUGAAUAAGUCAAAACUUUCAACAACGGAUCUCUUGGUUCUG
RNAcentral lists this unclassified non-coding RNA (231 nucleotides) under plant metagenome. Its description in RNAcentral is "partial contains small subunit ribosomal RNA, internal transcribed spacer 1, and 5.8S ribosomal RNA". The record is from RNAcentral.